UGCGAACGCUGGCGGCAGGCCUAACACAUGCAAGUCGAACGCCGUAGCAAUACGGAGUGGCAGACGGGUGAGUAACGCGUGGGAACGUACCCUUCGGUUCGGAAUAACCCGGGGAAACUCGGGCUAAUACCGGAUACGUCCGCAAGGAGAAAGAUUCAUCGCCGAAGGAUCGGCCCGCGUCGGAUUAGCUAGUUGGUGAGGUAAUGGCUCACCAAGGCGAUGAUCCGUAGCUGGUCUGAGAGGACGGUCAGCCACACUGGGACUGAGACACGGCCCAGACUCCUACGGGAGGCAGCAGUGGGGAAUAUUGGGCAAUGGGCGCAAGCCUGAUCCAGCCAUGCCGCGUGAGUGAUGAAGGCCCUAGGGUUGUAAAGCUCUUUUACCAGGGAAGAUAAUGACGGUACCUGGAGAAUAAGCCCCGGCUAACUUCGUGCCAGCAGCCGCGGUAAUACGAAGGGGGCUAGCGUUGCUCGGAAUCACUGGGCGUGAAGCGCACGUAGGUGG
Molecule: ribosomal RNA, 504 nt
Filed under: uncultured bacterium
Lineage: Bacteria
Description: bacterial SSU rRNA
Rfam family: Bacterial small subunit ribosomal RNA
Source: RNAcentral